CCCCUAGAUGUUCUGGGCCGCACGCGCGCUACACUGAACAGUUCAACAAGUCUUAACCUUGGCCGAUAGGUCUGGGUAAUCUUUGAACGCUGUUCGUGACUGGGAUAGACCUUUGCAAUUAUGGGUCUUCAACGAGGAAUUCCUAGUAAACGCAAGUCAUCAGCUUGCAUUGAUUACGUCCCUGCCCUUUGUACACACCGCCCGUCGCACCUACCGAUUGAAUGGUCCGGUGAAUAAUUCGGACUGCAGCACUGCUUGGUCUCCAGGCUUUGCAGCGGAAAGUUUAGUGAACCUUAUCACUUAGAGGAAGGAGAAGUCGUAACA
Molecule: ribosomal RNA, 324 nt
Filed under: uncultured eukaryote
Lineage: Eukaryota
Description: partial 18S ribosomal RNA
Rfam family: Eukaryotic small subunit ribosomal RNA
Source: RNAcentral